AGAUACCCUAUUAUUUUUAAUGUAAAAUUUUAAGCCGAAGUAUUAAUAGUUAUGUUCUUGAAACUUAAAGAAUUUGGCGGUAUUAUAGUCUAUUUAGAGGAAUCUGUUAUGUAAUUGAUAGUCCACAUUGAAUCUUACUUAUAUUAAUUCUUGUAUAUCGCUGUUUAAGAAUAUAUUUUUAGGUUUAAUUUUCUGGAUAUAAAAAUAAUUGAAAUUUCAAGUCAAGGUGCAGUAAUGUAUAAGUUGAAUAAUGGGUUACAAUAAAUUGUAUUUAUAUGGAUAAAUAUUGGAAUAAUAAUUUGAAAGUGGAUUUAAUUGUAAACUUAUAAAGAUUAAUAAAUUGAUUAGUAGCUCUAUAAUAUGUACACAUCGCCCG
This 376-nucleotide ribosomal RNA is filed under the name Microphotinini gen. sp. MN271. RNAcentral describes it as "partial 12S ribosomal RNA". The record is from RNAcentral. Lineage: Eukaryota; Metazoa; Arthropoda; Insecta; Mantodea; Mantidae.